GUGGGGAAUAUUGGACAAUGGGCGCAAGCCUGAUCCAGCCAUGCCGCGUGAGUGAUGAAGGCCUUAGGGUUGUAAAGCUCUUUCAGUAGGGAAGAUAAUGACGGUACCUACAGAAGAAGCCCCGGCUAACUUCGUGCCAGCAGCCGCGGUAAUACGAAGGGGGCUAGCGUUGUUCGGAUUUACUGGGCGUAAAGCGCACGUAGGCGGAUUGGUCAGUUAGAGGUGAAAUCCCGAAGCUCAACUUCGAAACUGCCUUUAAUACUGCCAGUCUCGAGUCCGGAAGAGGUGAGUGGAACUCCUAGUGUAGAGGUGGAAUUCGUAGAUAUUAGGAAGAACACCAGUGGCGAAGGCGGCUCACUGGUCCGGUACUGACGCUGAGGUGCGAAAGCGUGGGGAGCAAACAGGAUUAGAUACCCGUGUAGUCC
RNAcentral lists this ribosomal RNA (425 nucleotides) under uncultured bacterium. RNAcentral describes it as "partial 16S ribosomal RNA". It matches the Rfam family "Bacterial small subunit ribosomal RNA", at positions 354 to 796 of the family's 1533-position model. The record is from RNAcentral.